RNAcentral lists this long non-coding RNA (20625 nucleotides) under Capsicum annuum. Its description in RNAcentral is "long non-coding RNA (CANN_LNC005532)". The record is from RNAcentral. Lineage: Eukaryota; Viridiplantae; Streptophyta; Magnoliopsida; Solanales; Solanaceae.
CAUGUGCUAAUCUCCUAUGCCAUAAUAAAAUGUCCUUUCUAUGACUAUGAGCACUCCAUGCUUUAACAUUAUCAUCACUAACAUCAUGUGUCCUAGAGGCUUUAGUGUGAUUCAAAAUGUAGAGACCAUCAAGUUCCUUACCAAUCACCAUCAAUUUCCCACAGGAAAGGUCCUAGAACAGACAAACUACAGGGUAAAAUGAUACAAAACAACUAAGCUCUAUAGUUACCUUGGAAACUGAUAACAAAUUAUACUGAAAAUAUGGAACAUACAAUACAUUCUCCAACUUUCCUGAAUCAGCAACAUGAUAUUACCAGUAUGUGUUACCAAAGUGACCCCUCCAUUUGGUAGAUAUACUUGAAGUAUUUCGCUGCAAUAUGUCCCUUUAAUUUGCAAAAGUCACAUUGUAGUUCCCAGUUUGGCUUUUCUUUUUGGUAGAGGUGGUGAGAAUUUUAUUCGUGAUUGUAGUGAGAUUUAUCACCCCUCCCAGCCAUUAAUACUACUAGUUCAGUGCCUUUACCAGUCAUAGCAGAACUAGUAGCCAUUGAACACUGACUUUCUCAUUCCGUAAGCAUAGCAUAGGCUUUGUUAAGAUCUAGGGCAAUCACAGAGUGUUGGUACAAUACUAUCAAAUUCAUCCCACAAAUUAUGUAACUUUAAAAAAUGGAUAGGAAUAUUAUCAUUUCCUUGAACUGUAGCUGCUAUAGCCUUAUGCAAUUGAUAAAUUCGAGAUGCGUUUACCUUAUCGAAGUGUUCACGCAGGUCAUUACACUCGUAGCAUAGACAAUUCCAGUAUGCAAUUAUGGUGUAAUGGAACUCAUGAUCCAUCCCUAGACUACUGCAUUACAAUGAUUCCACUGGUUCCCUAAUUCCUAUACAAAAUCCUCCCAUUUCCAGGUGCCAUCAACGAUCCCAAGCUUGUUCUUCCCAAGCAAUUGGAUAAGCAUUGACCUACUCCAAAUUGAAUAAUUGUCGCAUCUUGUCAGUUGCAUCGGGAUAAGAGGAGCUCCCGUACUAUCAAAGGGAUGUAAGAAAAUUGCAUGAUUGUGGUCAAAUUUCACCACCACUAUUGUAGAAGCUUCAACCAAAUGAAAUGUCGAGGUUGGAAAUCGAAUAAUUUUGUAGAAAAACACAUAAUACGUGGUUUUAAGGCUUUGAUACCAUGUUAAAAUUCAUGUAGAAAUUGAAUGAUUAUGCUCAUCACCAUUGGAGCAGUUGGUUUAGCUGAGAAGGGAGAAGAAGAAAGGAAUAUUAUUUCAUCAAAAAUAGUUAACCCAAAAAUACAAUGGUACAAUGCUUAUAUAGUGUAGUUGUUUUAUUCAUAUUUAACAAAUCUGCUUUACCUAAUCUAACCGACUUAUGCUAAUUACACAUUUUCCCAUUGCAUAUCAAGUUCUUCCUAUCUCAUUACUCCCCUUAAGCUAGAAGGUGCAAAAAUAUUCAGCACUCCUAGCUUGCCAACCAAACUUUCAUGUUAUGAUCUGGACAAUCCUUUAGUAAAUAUAUCUGUUAGUAGAUCCUUAGAGCUUACAUGUUUAGUCCUUAUCAUCCUAUCUUAUAUCUUCUGCCUAAUGAAGUGGCAGUAAAUCUCUAUGUGUUUUGUUCUUUCAUGAAACACAGGGUUGGCUGCUAUUUGUAAGGUUGCUUUGCUGUCGUUGAAUACCACUACUGGUUCUGUCGUAUCAAUCCCCAAUUUCUUUAGUAAAGCUGUGAUCCAUACGACUUCUGAAACUGCACUAGCCAUGCUUUUGUACUCAGAUCCUGCUCAACUCCUGGAUACUACACGUUGCUUCUUGGAUUUCCAUGAUAAUAAAGUAUCACCAUGUUUGAUUAAGAAUCCUGAAAUUGACCUUCUAGUGUUUGAACAUGAUGCCUAAUCUGCAUUACAGAACACACUUACUUGAUUUGAUCUUCUUCUACUGAUAAGUAUUCCAAGCCGUAGUGCUCUUUUUAAAUAUCUCAUCACUCUAACUGCUGCUUUCCAGUGUGAUCUUCUAGGUUUCUGCAAGAAUUGACUAAGUGUUUGGACUGAGUAUGCAAUGUCUAGUCGGGUUAAUGUCAAAUACAACAUCCUUCCUACCAAUCUUUGAUAUUGUUCUUUGUGCUCAAGAGCUUCAUCAUCAGUCUUAUUUGUCAAGCUGUCUAGUUCUUGUAUUAUAAGUUUGAGAUUUAUUUCAAGUAGGUUCCAUGUUGGUUUAGCCUUUCCAAGUCCCAAGUCUGACAAUAUUUCUAGUGCAUAUUUUCUUUGAUUACUAGAAUUCCCUUUGCAGAUCUACUAAACUCCAUACCAAGGAAAUAUUUUAGUUCCCCAAUGUCCUUGAUUUCAAAAAAUGCCUUCAAUGAAGACUUGGUGUCUGCUACCAUUCACCAAUAUGUCAUUAACAUACAUUAGUAUAACUGUUGACACGUAAUUUUGUCCCUCCCAAAAAGCAUUUUUUUUUCAUUUUUUACCUUAUCCUACCAUGUACCCUCAACCAUAUAAUCAUACCUUACAAAAAUACAAAAAUAACAAACUCCCUAACAAAUUAAAUCCCUAAUAUUCCCUUAUCCCAAAAAAACCUUAUCCUAACCAACUCCCUAUUCACCACCCCACACCCCCUACCCUACCCCACUACCCCACACUACCUUACAGAUAUACUUCACAAAGAGAAACAGAGGCCUCUCUCAUCCAUUAGACACAUAUAAAAUACACAGUCCAUAGAUACUCCUCAUUUUCUUUCAUUGAGGAGAACACAUAUACACGUACCACUGAUUCACGCAUAUAUACCAUACACACUCACCCCGCACGUGGACCUCACUAAAAAAAUAGAGUGAACAGUGAAAAAAUAGGGUCAAGAAUAGAGCUGUAGAGGGAGACGAUAGAGAAAUCUAGAAAUCAAAAUAAAAUAGGGAGAUAUAGAAUCCAGGAAGAGAACGAAAAGAGAGAGAAAAAGAGAGAGAAUUAAGCAAAAGAGAGAAAAAAUGAGAAAGAGAAUUGAGCGAGAGAGAAAGAGAUCAGAGAGGAGAAGUUGUGAACAAUUCUUUCCAAUGAACUCUCAUCAGAAUACACCAAAGCUACCAGCUGCACCAUCACUGGAAUUGCCACCGAAAAACAUCGCUGGUCACCAGAAAUGUCCAAACAAACAAUGGCUAAACCCCUCAAACAAUAAAAUCCACCCAAAAUACCGACCCAUUCUUGUCCGAUAGAUACUAUAAAUUGACCAAAAUUCCAACUCUGAUUAAGUCCUGUCACCCCUGAAGUGAGACGCUGCCGGAAAAUAGCCCAGUUAUCGUUAAAGGGAUCAAAACCUUGGUUAUGAGUGUGGUCAUCACUGAACGUCAAGUGGUUAGGGUCGAAUCUAUGGUUUGUAAAUUCGUGACUGAGGUUCCUUUCAAGGUCUGUCCGUUGGUUCAUUAGUCUAAGAGGCACCUAUGUCUGUUGAAAUUGAUUUAAGUUAAUUGAAAAUAAAGCGCCCAAUUGAAGUCCAAUUUUUAAAUUUAUCUCUUUCUAUUGUUAUCUUGUUAUGAUGUUUUGAAUAUUGAUUUACGUGAUUCGUUUUGGUUGAUGCUAUUAUUUUGAUAAUGUGAUUGAGGUAUUUUAAUUGUCUGAGCAGGAUUGUUUGUUUUCGUAUUGAGAUUGGUUAUUCGUGUGAAAAGGAAUUUGGGGGUGAGAAUGGAUAAAUUGAUAAAAUAUUAAUUGGUUUAGUUUAGUUAGUUGACGGAUGUAGAUGAAUUCGAUAGUAACAUGAAUAGAUCGUCAAAAGAGUAGGUAAAUAGUAGGCUUAGGUAGGCAAAUUUAGAACUUAUGGAUUGUUGAAUGAUGAAAUGUUUGUAGAAUGGUUUUGAGUUAGGCAUUGGAAUCUAUUGUAUUUAUUUGGUUGGGGGAUGCCUCGAGGGAUUUGUAUUGAUUUAUCCGGGGAAUUCCCCAAAGUACCAUGUACUUUAAGAUGACGCACGAUUAAGACACGGAACGUCGGGUAGAGAAAGCAAGGGAGUGUAGUUUAGAAUUAGCAUAGAAUAGAGUAGGUUUAUAUUUUCGUAUUUUUCUAUUUUUGGAUUAUAAUAAUCGGACUGGACACUUUAAUUUUGGAUUUGUUCUGUUUGUUGGUUUGAUUGAUUGUUUUGUGUGAUUUUUUGUGGUUUAUAUAUUCAUAAUGUCAAAUUAGCCGAUACGCUCCACCAAGCGACCGUGGUCAAACCGCGGGACUGAGGGGUGCCUAACACCUUCCCCUCGAUCAAUAGAAUUUCUUAACUGGAAUCUCUAUUCAUAGAUCAGUUUUGAAAGAGUCAAAAAAUCAUUUUGAAAAGGAUAUCCCUAAGGUGACUUGGCACACUAGAUUAUGCCAAGCGCCGACUCUGAGUUUUGAAUAUAAAAGGUCCCUUUCGAAACAAAUUUUCAUCUUUUGUCACUUUAACAAUAAAAACCCUUUCAAACUUAAAAUCAAAAUCUUUUCAGUUAAAAAAAGGGGUGUGACAGCUCUAGUGACUCUGAUGGGGAUCAUUUCAUAAUUCGAGCUUAUUUUUGAAGUUGUAUCGGCUUAGUUUUGCAGUAUGGGUGCAUAGAUGUUGUUUGUGUUGUUUUGUGUUAUUGUUUUUUUCAUUGUUGAGUGACUGCGUGCUCUUUGUUUACAGUUUUUAUCUAUGUGUUACCGCUUUAUAUCUGGCAUCAUAUGCAUAACCCGAGUCAUUCUUUUUGCAACAAGUCCGUAGUGCACGUUGUGUACACGACUUCUAGUUGAGUCACCCUUUUCUUAGGAGGGGAAUCCGUGGCUGGUAUGGAGUGGGUGGAAAGCUAAAGCAACCAUUAUCGACCAUACGCUCCCCGGAACAGACUUGUUAGUGAACCCCAGCGUAGGUCAACCUUUCGGUCAUGCUUAUCUGCAUCAUAUUAAGAACCUAGUGGAAACCACUUGGUUCUUUGUAGGAAACUCAGCUCUAAGGCAUCCCUACAUGCUAAAUGUUGCAUCUUUGAGGGUAACGAGGUCAUUUGACAAAUGAUUUGGGCAAAAGCAUGUGUUAGAAGCAAAGUGUGUAGGCAAGAAAUUGUUGAAAAAAGAAGAAGAAAAAAGAGUAAAAAAAAAAAGAGAUUUGCUAGUUUUUAGGGCUCUUUAUGGCUUUUGUUUUUCACAAUUCAAAAAAAAAAUAUUUUUUUACUUUUUACACUCAUUUCCCAAAAACUCAAAAACGUUUAAAAAAUCCUUUUUAUUUCUUUAGUAAGUAUUCACAAUUCGAAAACUCCAAAAAUAUUUUUCCUUCCAAUAGGAGUUUUGUACAUUUUUAUAUAACGAAAAUAUCAAAAGAUUUUUUCUUUCAUAGUUGUUGGAGUUAGUUUCUAAUUAAAAACCCAAAAAAGAUUUUAUUUUGAUCGUCUGUCUUUAGUCGUGUCUCUCAAUUCAGAGUUUAGUUUGUUAUUUAAUCCUUAAUUGUCCAAUCUGAACGAACUACGCACCUCUGAUUCUCCUCUCUCGGGAGUGAGAUACGUAGGUAGCCUAUUGUGGGUUCGGGGAUCUUAUUUCAAAAAUCCAAAAAAUAUUUUAUUCACUCUUCAUUUAGAGUAGGUGUUUCAUAUACAUCUUCAUGAGAAAACUACAAAAACAUUUUCCUUUAAUAGUUUCAAGUUUCAUUUUUGUUUGAAAUUCAAAAUUGAAAACCCCAAAAGUUUUUUCUUUGGUAAUUAUAGGUUUUAUUUUGUAUAGAAAUCUGAAAAAUUCAAAAAGAUCUUCUUCACUCUUCAUUUAGAGUAGGUGUUUCAUAUACAUCUUCAUGAGAAAACUACAAAAACAUUUUCCUUUAAUAGUUUCAAGUUUUAUUUACGUAUGAAUGUAAAAUUGAAAAUCCAAAAAGAUUUUUCUUUUAUAAUAGUAGGUUUCAUUUUGUAUAGGAAUUUUAAAGCUGAAAAUUCAAAAAAGAUUUUCAUCAAUCCUUUUGACACUUUGUUCCAAGAAAAGAAAUAGAGUUUUAUUGGCCCUUUUAUGGACAAACUUCAUGAACUACGCACACCUGAUUCUCCUCUCUCGGGAGUGAGAUACAUAGGCACCCUUUUAAGGUUCGGUGAUCUUUUAAAAAAAAAAGGUUUUGAAAAAUUGUUGAACUCUAACGCAUUUGCUAUUUCUUGUCUAGUUAUUUUAAGGUGGUUGGUUUGUGGUAUUUUGGUUGGUCCUCCAUAUUGCUCCAAGUCAUAGAGAAAGUUAUGGCCAACAAGGAUACCGAUUUAGUUGUCACUAAUCAGAUAGGGAGUUUGGGGAAUGAGAAUGUAGGAGCUAAUGGAGAGAUUUGAAAAUUGAGGCAGCAAAUGAUAGAAAUGUAUCGAGCUUGGGCUAAUGGGUUGUUGCCUCCUCCAUUUCCCGCUGAUAAUCUAGAAUAUCUUUCUAGUUUGCCUCCAGUGUCACAUGCACAAUUUCCUAUUUUGGUCGACAUGCCACAACAUGCAUCAGAACCUACUCCAGGGAAACAAUAUCCAAACACUUCCAAUAUUCAUUUCCUCACUUCUCAAUACAAAAUUACACAUUCUCGGCUCCGCCUGCUAUUCAUGCUUUUGCAGCCCCACUCUUGUCUGAAGCUCCUACUUUUAAUGUCAAUCCAACGGUUGUGAUUCCUCACUCUACAAGCGACCUUGUAUUGAAUAUUUGUAGUGAUCAGCAUUAUGCUCCCGAGACUACAUUUAAGUCGACUGGUCCUUAUGGUUGCACUCAACCGCCUAAAUUUCCUCCUAAAACUGAGAAUCUUGUUAUGACAGAAGAACAAGAGAAAAUGGCCAGAAAAUUGAGAAGUUUGAAACUGACUAUUAAAAAUUUGCAAGGACUUGGGGGGAACAAAAAUGUCUCAUAUAAAGAUCUGUGCAUGUUUCCAGGUGUACAUCUUCCUCUUGGUUUUAAAAUACCGAAGUUUGAGAAGUAUGAUGGACAUGGCAAUCCUGUAGAACAUUUGAGACGCUAUUGCAACCAGCUAAGGGACACUGGGGGAAAGAAAGAAUUACUUAUGUCAUAUUUCGAUGAGAGUCUUUCAGGUCUAGCUUCAGAAUAGUUUGUUGACCAAGACAUCGACAAGAGGAACAGCUGGGAUGACCUGGCUAAUGAAUUUGUGCAACAAUUUCAAUACAAUAUUGAGUUGAUUUCUGACGAGAAAUCCCUGACUAAUAUAAAGAAAAAGAGUACUGAAACUUUCAUAGAGUAUGCGAUUAGAUGGCGUGAACAAGCUGCUAGGGUGAAACCACCAAUGAAAAAAAGUAAGAUAGUGGAGAAAUUUAUUCAAGCGUAGGAUGAAACAUAUUAUCAACACUUGUUACCUGCAUUAGGCAAUCCAUUUAUUGAGGUCCUCAAAAUAGGGGAGAUGAUAGAGGAUAAAAUUAAGACCGAUCAUAUUGUGAGUUUUGGAACAUUAAAAGCGACUACUCAAGCAAUUCAAAAAGGUCCGGUAAGUGUUAGAGGAAAGAAGAAUGAGGAAGAUGCAUCUUCCAUUGUAGUUGGACAACAGGCAUGGGCAAGAGGACUACACCAUUAUUACCCACAGGCUCAAACCCAAGUUUAUACACAAGCUCCACAUUAUCUUUCCCAAAAUACAUUAUGUUUCAUACCCCUACCUCCAUAUCAAGUGUAUAAUGUGCAACCAUAUGUUCAACCCCCAUCGUACCCACACUAGCGUGCGCCAACUCUGCCGAGUUAUUCUCCAACUCCACAUAUAUACCGAAGCCUUUCUACACUUGGUUUUCAAUUUAAGCCAAAUAAUGAAAUGAGAUAGAAGUCGAGGGAUAGUUUCACACCAAUCGGAGAGUCAUAUGCCAAUUUAUUUCAGAGAUUAGUACAGCGGGGCAUGAUCACUCCUCUUCUUGGGUAUACUCCUAACCCGCAUUCAAGAAAUUUUGAUCCUAAUGUACAAUGUGUAUAUCAUUCUAAUGUUCAGGGUCACAGUAUUGAAGAUUAUCGUGCCUUUAAAAGAGAAAUAGAAAAGAUGAUUCAAGAUAAAUCGAUUACGGUGUAGAACAUUGACAGCAAGGAAAGCUCUAGUCAUGCUAAUAUACAAACCAGUGGCUAAGAUGUCAGGCUGAGCAAUUGAGAAGUCACCCCUCUCCCUACUAGGAAGAGGUCUGGUAGUUUGUUUUAUUUUAUUUUCUAUGAUACGAAUUAUUUCAGGGUUGUAGUUCAGGAUCUAUCUUGUUUUGUCACUUUUUCGUUAUGUUCAAACCCUUCUAUCUUUCAUUUUUAUUAAAUGGAGUGUCCCUUUUUCUUUUGUGUUUUAAAAUAUGUGUAGUUUGUUUGUUUCCUUUACAUAGUACAUUCUAUGUUGUAUCUACUGAUACGACAUGCUAGUGAAAUUUUUAGCCUGAUCUUAAAAUCUAGUUUAAGCAUGAACAUUGAAUCAGAGGGUUAAAGUUAGAAAAAGAGAGCAUAUGAGAAAAUAUAUAGAGUGCUUAGACAUUUGGUGAUAAGUUAAGGCAACUAUUUUGAGAAUCACAAGAAUAACAUGGCCACCAAUUGAAAGAGUCUCAAUUAGGUCAAACAGUGGCUGUGGGAUCCUAUAUCAAGAGGAACAAAAAGAAAUCAGCUCCAUAAAAACAUGAAUCAUUCGAUGUGAGGGAUGCAUAACAAAGGUGGAGUUGUAUACUAGACAAGUAUAGAAAAAGAAGUGACACACAUGUCCAGUUUAAGUUAGUUUUGCUAAAGUGUCACACAUGAUUUUUAUCUCCCAUUUUCCGAUUGCAUGUUAUGUACUUGCAUUCUCAAGGAUUGAUAUGAUGAAGGCAUUUCAUUUUGCUAUCUAAACAUUGUGUCAUCCUUUGUUUACCCUGUUUGUUCCUUAGUGUUAUUUUCUUUCAUACCUCUCUUUUGGAAUCAAGAUAGAGUUAGUAAAGUUCAAGAAAAAAUGUCGAGUGAAAAAAUAGAGUCAGAAAAAAAAAAGAGAAGGAAAAGAAGAAGAAAAUAUGAUCAAAAUGAAAGUAAAGAGAAGAGUGUCAAGAAAAAUAGAGUCAUAAAGUUUCAAAGAGAAAAAGAGUCAAUAAAAGAGAAAAAGAAGAAGUCAGAAUCAAGUAAAAGAACAAAUCGCCAGAACUACGCGUGACCUAAUUCUCCUCUCUCGGGGGUGUGAUACGUAGGCUGCCCUACUUUGGGUUUGGUCUAACCAAAUAAACAAUUUAGAAUUGCCCAGUCAAAAGGAACUGGGGCAUGAGUUGAUCUUCAUUUUUUGAGUCAAUUCUAAAAGUUGUAAGUCCCACCCCACUUCAAGUGUUGUUUGAGCUCCAUGCCAUCCUUUUUUUCUAACCCCAUUCAAAAGUCAAGUUACAACCAAAGAAAGACCUUCGGAUCAAUCUUUGAGAAUGUUAAGGCUAAGCGUGCAAUGAAUAUGAUGACACAUUUUAGGAACUAUUCAUCUUCCUCAGCGUAAGAAAUCAGGAGAGAAAUAAAAAUGAGAGAGUCUUAUUGGUGAAAACUGCUCACGGGUACCAUAAGGCAAUGGUAAGUUGAGAUAGAUAAAAAUGAGAGUGUCUUAUUGGUAAAAACCCUCACGGGCACUAUAAGGCAAUGGUGAGUUGAGAGGAAAAUAAGAGAGGAUUGUUGGCAAGAAUCCUUCAAUGUGCCACUAGCUGAAUGAGCUCUUCGAAUGCAAUGGGUCCAAGCAAGUAACUCAGUUUCAGAGCCAUUAACUCAAGAACAACUGGUAGAACAGGCAGAUUAAUCCAAAAUGCAUGGCAUAAUCAUUAGAGUUGACUGUCAUUUCUAGAUAAAUUUUUCAUUUCUUUGUUUCAAAUGGGGACAUUCAUUGUCUUUUCUUUCUUUUCCUCUUCUUUUAUUUUAUUUUCUUGAGUCAGUUAUUCAAAUAGAAAAUUAUUAUCAUUUUUUUCUUAUCGUUGAGUCAAGUGCAUUUCAAAAUGAGUGAGAAAAAAUUUCAAAAUUGGAUACCAGCUUCUUUAAUGGAACAAAGCAAGACACAAGGCCAAUACAUGAAAGAGACAUGAUUAUGAGCUGGAAUAAGGCAUGCAGAAAGUUUUGUCAAUAGACAAGUCUGGGAAAUCAUGGAAAUACCAAGGUUCAAAGGGUUUAUCUGAGAAGUAUGACAAAGCAGAGAUACUGUAUCUGUUUCAGAGUCACUCUUAAUAAUCUGAGUUCGGUCCAAUGAUGCAGCAAGUCAGUGACACAUGCUAAUGGUUGAAAGCAAGAUUAAAUGUGGCAGGGGCAAGAGCGAUUUUCACUAAAGACAAAGCCACAAACCAGCCACCAUGUAUUUAAACUAAUAAGUUUUCUUUGUAUGAAACAGGAACACAUGUUACAUUCGAAUCAAAGAUUUUAAAGCCUAAACAUCAAAGGCCGUAAUAUUCUCACUUCUACAAAUGCAAGAGGCAAUGUUGCUGCACAGAUUUGGUAUUCAAAAUCAUGGUAAAACUCAUAAUCCAAUAUCUCUAGGAGACACACUUCCUUAUUUGGGUAAUUCAAGCAAUAUUUGUAAGGAGACGCACUUUCUUAUUUAGGUAAUUCAAGCAAUAUUUGUAAAGGGAUGCACUUCAAUUUUUGGACAAUUCAAGCAACAUUUGUAAGAAGACACACUUCCUUAUUUUGGUAAUUCAAGCGACAUUUGUAAGGAGAUGCACUUUCUUAUUUAGGUAAUUCAAGUGAAAUUUGUAAGGAGAUGCACUUCCCCAUUUGGGCAAUUCAAGCAGCAUUUGUGAGGAGACACACUUCCUUAUUUGGGCAAUUUAAGCAACAUUUGUAAGGAGACACACUUCCUUAUUUGGGGUAAUUCAAGCAACAUUUGUAAGGAGACACACUUCCUUGUUUGGGUAAUUCAAGCGGCAUUUAUGAAGAGACACAUCCUUGUUUGUUUAAUUCAAGCGACAUUUGUAAGGAGACACACUUCCAUAUUUUAGUAAUUCAAGCAACAUUGGUGAGAAGACACGCUUCCUUGUUUGGGUAAUUCAAGUGACAUUUAUGAGGAUACGCACUUCCUUGUUUGUUUAAUUCAAGCGGCAUUAGUAAGGAGAUGCAUUUCUUUGUUUGGGUAAUUCAAGAGAUAUUUGUUAGGAGACACACUUUCUUAUUUUUGUAAUUCAAGCAGCACUGGUAAGGAUAUGCACUUCGUUGUUUGGUAAUUCAAGCGGUAUCAUAAGGAGGCGCACUUCUAAAGGAGAUGUACUUCCUUGUUUAGGUAAUUCAAGCGGCAUUAGUAAGGAGAUGCACUUCCUUGUUUUGGUAAUUCAAGCGGCAUUUGUGAGGAGACGCACGUCCUUGUUUGGUAUUUAAAGCAACAUUUGUAAGGAGAUCUAUUUUCUUAUCUAGGUAAUUCAAGCAACACUGGUAAGGAGACGCACUUUCUUGUUUGGUAAUUCAAGUGGUAUUUGUAAGGAGAUGCACUUUUUUGUGUGGGAAAUUCAAACAACUUUUGUACGGAGAUGCACUUCCUUGUUUGGGUAAUUCAAGCAUUUGUAAGGAGACACAUUUCCUUAGGUAAUUCAAGUGGCAUUUUUUGGGAGACGCACUUUCUUGUCAGUUUUCAUUUGUCAGGAGCCCGCUUGAAGAACACGGCGAAUACAUGACAUUCAAGCAACAAGGUGAAAAAGUAAAAGUCAACAGAUUGAUGAAAUUGCAAGUCACGAGCCCGCCUGAAGAAUAAGGUGAUGAAACUCAAGUCAGGAGGCCAAAAGUAGUUGCAUCGAUAGGAUUUUUUGUAAUUUCAUUUAUGUUUUAAAUUGUAAUUUUCAUUUUGGUGUAAUAACAGAGCCGCAGACCGGAACCUCGAUGGGAACUCACUCGACUCUCCAAAUCGGUUAUCCUUCUUCUUUUUGUUUCUUCUCUGUGAAUAAUGGUCGGGUCAAACUUCUGUCUCAUUAUCUACUUCUUUAUAUGAAAAAACUUUGUGUUUACAUGAAAAGAGGGGCAUGGUGUAGACACGUAAUUUUUUCCCUCCCAGAAAGUAUUUUUUUUUUGUUUUUUACCUUAUCCUACUAUGUACCCUCAACCAUCUAAUCAUACCCCACAAAAAUACAAAAAUGACAAACUUCCUAACAAAUUAAAUCCCUAAUAUUCCCUUAUCCCAAAAAAAACUUAUCCUAACCAACUCCCUAUUCACCACUCCACACCCCCUACCCACCUCACUACCCCACACUACCUUACAGAUAUAUGUCACAAAGAGAAUUAAAGGUCUCGUUCAUCCAUUAGACACACAUAGAAUACACAGGCCAUAGAUACACCCCAUUUUAUUUCAUUGAGGAGAACACAUACCCACACACCACUAAUUCAUGCACUCACACAUAUAUACCACACACACUUACCCCGCAAGUGGAACUCACCAGAAAAAUAAAGUGAACAGUGAAAAAAAAAGGGGCCGAGAACAAAGCUAUAGAGGGAGACAAUAAAGAAAACUAGAAAUUAAAAAGAAAUAGGGAGACAGAGAAUCCGAUGAGAGAGUGGAGAGAGAGAGAGAAAAUAGAAAGAGGAUUGAGCGAGAGAUAGAGAAAAGGAGAAAGAGGAUUGAGCAAGAGAGAGAGAUAUCGAAGAGGAGAAGUUGUGAACAGUUCUUUCCAAUGAACUCUCACCGGAAUACACCAAAGCUACCAGCUGCACUAUCAUUGGAAUAACCACCGAAAAGCAUCACUGGUCACUAGAAAUAUCCAAACAAACAACAGCUAAACCCCUCAAACAAUAAAAUCCACCCAAAAUCCCAACCCAUUCUUGUCCGAUAGAUACCGAAACCAACCAAAAUUCCAACUCUAAUUAAGUCCUAUCAACCUCGAAGAGAUACGCUACCAAGAAAUAGCCCCGUCAUCGUUAAAAGGAUCAAAACCUUGUUUACAAGUGUGGUCGUCGCUGAACAUCAAGUGGUCAGGGUCAAAUCUGUGGUUUGUAAAUUCACGACUAAGGUUCCUUUCGAGGUCUGUCCGUUAGUUCAUUGGUCCAAGAUGCUCCCAUCACUUUAUCUCUUUCUAUUGUUAUCUUGUUAUGAUGUUUUGAAUAUUGAUUUAUGUGAUUCAUGUUGGUUGAUGCUAUUAUUUUAAUAAUGUGAUUGAGGCAUUUUAAUUGUCUAAGAUGGAUUUUUUGUUUUUGUAUUGAGAUUGGUUAUUCGUAUGAAAAGGAAUUUGGGGACGAGAAUAGAGAAAUUGAUAAAAGAUUAAUUGGUUUAGUUCAGUUAGUUGACGGAUGUAGAUGAAUUCGAUAGUAUCAUGAUAAGACCGUCAAAAGCAUAGGUAAAUAGUAGGCUUGGGUAGGCAAAUUUAGAACUUAUGGAUUAUUGAAUGAUGAAAUAUUUUUGGAAUGGUUUUGAGUUAGGAAUUAGGAUCUAUUGUAUUUAUUUGGCUGGGGGAUGCCUCGAGGGACUUGUAUGGAUUUAUCCGGGGAAUACCCCAAAGUACCACGUACUUGAAGACGACGCACGAUCAAGGCCUGGAACAUCGGGUGGAGAAAGCAAGGGAGUGUAGUUUAGAAUUAGUAUAGAAUAGAGUAGGAUUAUAUUUUCGCAUUUUUCUAUUUCGGGAUUGUAAUAAUCAGACUGAACACUAUAAUUUUGGAUUUAUUUUGUGUGUUGGUUUGAUUGAUUGUUUUUGUGUAAUUUUUUGUGGUUUAUAUAUUCAUAAUGUCAAAUUAACUAAUAUGAUCCACCAAGCUACCAUGGUCGAACCGCGGGAUUGAGGGGUGCCUAACACCUUCCCCUCGAUUAACAUAAUUCCUUAACCAGAAUCUCUAUCGCAGAUCAGUUUUGAAAGAGUCAAAAAAUCAUUUUGAAAGGGAUAUUCCUAAGGUGAAUUGGCACACCAGAUUAUGCCAAGUGGACACUCUGAGUUUUGAACAUAAAUGGUCCCUUUCAAAACAAAUUUUCAUCUUUUGUCACUUUAAAAAUAAAAACCCUUUCAAACUUAAAAUCAAAGUCUUUUCAGUUAAAAAAGGGGUGUAACAAUAACCACUAUGUUUGACCCUUAUCUUUUGAUAAACAAGGAUUGAUCAAGAGAGCUUUGUGUAAAACUAGAUUUAAGCAAUGCUUCACACAAUUUGAGAUUUCAUUGUCUACUUUCUAGCUUGAGUCCAUAUAGGGAUUUCACAAGUCUACAUACUAAACUAGACUCCCCUUGACUAGGAAAUUCUUCAGGCAAUUGCAUAUAAACCUCAUCAUAUAAGUACCCCUGUAAGAAAGCAUUAUAAACAUCUAAUUGAUGUAUAGACCAGUCACCUUGAGCAGCGAGAGAAAGAAAUGUUCUAACUAUGGAAAUUUUCACCAUAGGUUAAAAAGUUUCAUGAAAAUCAAGACCUUCCUUCUGAUUGUAACCGUUGGACACUAGUCUGGCCUUGAACCUCUCAACCUUACCAUUAGCUUUAAUCUUGACUUUGUAAAUGCACUUACAUCCAGUGGCAACCUUACCUUGAGAAAAAAUCCCAGGUGUGAUUGUCUUGUAAAUCUUGAAUUUCAGAUUGCAUGGCUUCAAUCCAUCUACUAUUAGAAGUAGAUUCUUGGUAAGAUCUAGGCUCAUGUGUAUCAAAAAAAGCCCCAAGAAAAGAAUGAUAUGAGGAGGGAAGAUUAGAAUAAGAAACAUAGUCAUGAAAGGGAUAAGUAGCAGAAUUGGGUUCGGGUAACAAAAUCUGAUAGCCCAAGUGGUUGUUUGGUAAUCCUAAUGGACCUUCUUUGAGGAGUGAUGAUAGGUAGAGCAGGCAUACUGAUUGAUGGAGCAGGUUCAGGCAAAGCAGCAGGUGCAACAUAAUUAGUAGAUGAAGCAUCCUCAAUAAAUGCAUCCUCAACAGGGAUAUUGCCAACCAUAUCAGAAGUAAUAUAAGAAGAAUCAACUAUUUUCUUAAAAGGAAACUGAUUCUCAUGAAAUGCAACAUCCCUAUUGACAAAGAACUUUUGAUUUGCAAUAUCAUAUAAUAUGUAACCCUUAGUUAUACUGGAAUACCCCAUAAACACUGCCUUCAAUGCUCUAGGAACAAAUUUAUCAACUUUAGGCAGUGUACUAGCGAAGCACAAACAACCAAGUGUUCUUAAGUGAGAAAGAUUUAGUUUCUUCUUAAAAAACACUUCAUAAGGUGACUUACCUCCAAGUGUUUGGGAUGGCAAUCUAUUGAUGAUGUAUACUGCUGUAAGAAUACAAUGACCCCAAAACUUAGGGGGACUAUGACCCUAAAAUCUGAGUGCUCUAGCUAGCUCAAGUAAAUGCCUGUGCUUCCUCUCAGCCACACCAUUUUACUGAGGGGUAUGAUCACAGGUUUUAUAAUGGAUGAUUUAAUUUUUUGAAUAACUCUUGCGUGUGAGUACUCAUAAAUUCAUAUCCAUUAUAAAUUCUCACACCCUUAACAGUAGCAUUGAAUUGAGUAUGAAUCAUGGAAAAAAACUAUUUAAGGAUUAUCAAUAGAUCACAUUUAAAUUUGAGCAAGAAAACCUAUGUAAUUCUGGAGAAGUCGUCAACAACUGUAAGGAAGAAUCUAUUUCCAUCAAAAGUCUGUGUGCUAUAAGGACCCCAUACAUCUAAAUGCAAUAAAACAAAUGCAUCAGUUGAUUUAGUAGUACUACUAGAAAAAAAUCUGGCAUGCCUAGCUAAAGGGCAUAUUUCACAGGUGCUCAAGGUUGAUUCGCAUUUAUCCAGUGUGUAGCCAAACAUAUUUUUUAUUGAUCCUAUUAAGGCAUGUCCUAAUCUCCUAUGCCAUAAUAAAAUGUCCUUUUCAUCACUAUGAGUACUGUAUGCUUUAACAUUGUCAUCACUAGCAGCAUGUGUCCUAGAGGCUUUAGUGUUAUUCAAAAAGUAGAGACCAUCAAGCUCCUUACCAAUCGCAAUCAAUUUCUAACUGGAAAGGACCUAGAGCAGACAAAAUACAGGGUAAAAUGAUACAAAACAACUAAGCUCUAUAGUUACCUUGGAAACUGAUAAACGAUUAUACUGAAAAUAUGGAACGCACAAUACAUUCUCCAACUUUCCUGAAUCAGCGACCAGGCAAUUACAAGUAUAUGUUACCAAAGUGACCCCUCCAUUUGGUAGAUAUGCUUUUUUAUUUUGAUUCGACUCUAUUAAAUGUGUAUUAGUCAAUAAAUUCAAACUUGAGGCCAUAUGAUUUGUUGCUCUACUGUCAACUAUCCAUUUCAAUUCUUCUAUAUUAACUAUGGGAGUAUGAGCAAUACCUACCAUACCUGCCAUAUUAGCCUUUAUAGUUGUGUGUGCAAUAUCUUUUUCUAUCAUAUGGAUGAUAUAUGUAUAUUUCUCCCCUGUUAAACAAGGUUCCCGUGGUAAAUCACCUGCAGUGAACCUUUCAAUCAUUUGUCCAUUCCCUUUAUCUGCUGGUUGCGUAUAGUGAUGAGAACCUUUAGCUUAUACAUUAUAGGUAGCGUUUUUCACAUGUCCCUUCUUCUUGUGUUUCUAAUCAGGUAAGUAACCAUGUAACUUGAAGCAGUUCGCUGCAAUAUGUCCCUUUAAUUUGUAAAAGUCACAUUGUAGUUCUCAACUUAGCUUUCCUUUUUGGUAGUGGUGGUGAGAAUUUUGUCCGCAAUUGUAGUGAGAUUUAUCGCCUCUCCCAUCCAUUAAUUUUGCUAGUUCAGUGCCUUCACCAGUCAUAGAAGAACUAGUACCCAUUGAACACUGACUUUCUUGUUCCAUAAGCAUAGCAUAGGCUUUGUUAAGAGUGGGAGUUGGAUCAGUCAACAAAAUCUGGCCAUGAGCUUGAUAGUAUGUCUCAUUCAGACCUAUGAGAAACUGUAUUAACUUUUAUUAAACAAUAUGUGCACAAAAAUCUCUAGAUCUAGGGAAAUCAUAGGGUGGUGGUAUGAUACUAUCAAAUUCAUCCCACAAAUUGCACAAUUUCAAAAAAUAUUUAGGAAUAUUAUCAUUUCCUUGAACUUUAGAUGCUAUAUCCUCAUGCAAUUGAUAAAUUCGCGAUGUGUUUACUUUAUCAAAGCGUUCACGCAGGUCAUCCCAAACUGCCUUUGCACUCGUAGCAUAGACAAUUCCAGUAUGCAAUUUCGGUGUAAUAGAACUCAUAAUCCAUCCCUGGACUACUGCAUUACAAUGAUCCCACUGGUGCCCUAACUCCUGUACGAAAUUCUCUCAUUUCUAGGUUCCAUCAACGAUUCCAACCUUGUUUUUCCAAAGCAAUUGGAUACACAAUUCCCUUCUUCAAAUGGAAUAAUUAUCAAAUCCAGUCAGUUGCAUCGGGAUAAUAGCAGUUCCCAUUGUAUCGGAGGAAUGUAAGAAAAGUGCAUGAUUGUGGUUAAAUUUCACCAUCUCCAUUGUUGAAGAUCCAACUGAACUAAAUGUCGAGGUUGGAAAUCGAACAAUUUUGUAGAAAAAAACAUAAUAUGUAGUUGUAAGGCUUUGAUACCAUGUUAAAAUUCAUCAAGAAAUUGAAUAAUUAAGCUCAUCACCAUUGGAGAAGUUGGUUGAGCUGAGAAAAGAGAAGAAAAAAGAAAUAUUAUUUCAUCAAAAAUAGUUAACCCCAAAAUACAAUGGUACAGUUCUUAUGUAGUGUAGUUGUUUUAUUCAUCUUUAAUAAAUCUUAUUUACCUAAUCCAAUUGACUUAUACUAAUUACACAUUUUCCCCUUGUACAUCAAGUUAUUCCUAUCUCAUUACUCCCCUCAAGCUAGAGGGUGCAAAAAUAUUCAACAUUCCUUGCUUGCUAAGUAAACUUUCCUGUUGUGAUCUAGACAAUCCUUUAGUCAAUAUAUCUACCAUUUGAUCCUUAGAUCUUACAUGUUCAGUCCUUAUCAUCCUAUCUUAUAUCUUCUGCCAAAUGAAGUAGAAGCCAAUCUCUAUGUAUUUUGUUAUUUUAUGAAACACAAGGUUGGCUACUAUUUGUAAGGCUUCUCUGCUAUUACUGAAUACUACUACUGGUUCUGUUGUAUCAAUCCCCAAUUUCUUUUGUAAAGCUGUGAUCCAUAUGACUUCUGAAAUUGUACUAGCCAUGUGUCUGUACUUAGAUCUUGAUAAACACCUAGAUACUACAAUUUGCUUCUUGGAUUUCAAUGAUAAUAAAGUAUCACCAUGUUUUAUUACGAAUCCUGAAAAUGAUGUUCUAGUAUUUGGACAUGAUGUCCAAUCUGCAUUACAUAACACCCUUAGUUGAUUUGGUCUUCUUUUACUGAUAAGUAUUCCAAGCCUUGGUGCCCUUUUUAUGCAUCUCAUCACUCUAACUACUGCUUCCCAGUGUGAUCUUUUAGGUUGCUACAAAAAUUGACUAAGUGUUUGGACUGAGUAUGCAAUGUCUGGUCAGGUUAAUGUCAAAUACAACAUCCUUCCUAUCAGUCUUUGAUACUAUUGUUUGUUUUUAAGAGUUUCAUCAUUAGUCUUAUUUGUCAAGCUGUCCAGUUCUUCUGUUGUAAGUUUGAGAUUUGUUUCAAAUGGGGUCCAUGUUGGUUUAGCGUUUCUAAGUCCCAAGUCUGACAAGAUUUCUAGUGAAUAUUUUCUUUGAUUGACUAGAAUUCCCUUUGCUGGUCUACUUAACUCUAUACCAAGGAAAAAUUUCAGUUCACCAAUGUCCUUAAUUUUGAACACUGCAUUCAAUGAAGACUUGGUGUAUUCUAUAAGAGUCAAGUUGCUACCAGUCACCAAUAUGUCAUCAACAUACACAAGUAUAACCACUAUAUCUGACCCUUUUCUUUUGAUAAACAAGGAUUGAUGAAGAGAGCUUUGAGUAAAACCAGAUUUAAGCAAAGCUUCACACAAUUUGAGAUUCCAUUGUCUACUUGCUUGCUUGAGUUCAUAUAGGUAUUUCACAAGUCUACAUACUAAACCAAACUCCUCUUGACUAGGAAAUCCCUCAGGCAAUUAUAUAUAAACCUCAUCGUGUAAGUCCUCCUGUAAGAAAGCAUUAUAAAUAUCUAAUUGAUGUAUAGACCAGUCACCUUGAACAACGAGAGAAAGAACUAUUCUAACUGUGGCAAUUUUCACCACAGGUAAAAAAGUUUCAUGAGAAUCAAGACCUUUCUUGUAAUUGUAACUUUUGGCCACUAGUCUAUCCUUUAACCUCUUAACCUCACUAUUAGCCUUAAACUUGACUUUAUACACCUACUUACAACCAAUGACAACCUUACCUUGAGGCAAUGGAACCAAAUCCAAGGUGUGAUUGUCUUGUAAAGCUGGAAUUUCAAAUUGCAUGGCUUCAAUAUAUCUACUAUCAGAAGCAGCUUCUUGGUAAGAUCUAGGCUCAUGUAUAGCAAAAAAAUAACCAAGAUAAGACUGAUAUGAGGAGGAAAGAUUAGCAUAAGAAACAUAGUCAUGAAGGGGAUAAGUAGCAGAAUUGGUAGAGGAUCGGGUAACAUAAUACGAUAGCCAAAGUGGUUGCUUAGUAAUCCUGUUGGACCUUCUUUGAUAAGUGAUGAUAGGCGGAGCACAUGUACUGGUUGAAGGAGUAGGUUCAGGUGAAGCAGCAAGUGCAACAUGAUUAGUAGAUGAAGCAUCCUCAAUAAAGACAUCCUUAAGAGAGAUAUUGCAACCAUAUUAGAAGUAAUAUGAGAGGAAUCAGGCAUUAUCUUAAAAGGAAAUUGAUUCUCAUGAAAUGCAACUUCCCUAUUCACAAAGAACUUUUGAUUCACGAUAUCAUAUUAUAUGUAUCCCUUAGUUACCCUGAAAUACCCCAUAAACACUGCCUUCACUGCUUUAGGAGCAAAUUUAUCAACUCUAGGCAGUGUACUAGGGAAGCACAAACAACCAAGUGCUCUUAAGUGAGCAAGAUUUGGUUUCUUCUUAAAAAAAACUUCAUGAGGUAACUUACCUCCAAGUGUUUUGGAUGGUAAUCUAUUGAUGAUGUAUACUGCUGUAAGAAUACAAUGACCCCAAAACUUAAGGGGAAUAUGACCUUGAAUCUGAGUGCUCUGGCUAGCUCAAGUAAAUGCCUAUGCUUCCUCUCAGCCACACCAUUUUACUGAGGGAUAUGAGCACAGGUUUUAUAAUGAAUGAUCCUUAAUUUUUUGAAAAAAUCUUCCAUGUGAGUACUCACAAAUUCACCUCUUUUAUCAGCUCUCACACCCUUAAUAGUAGCAUUGAAUUAAGUAUGAAUCAUGGGAAAAAACUGUUUAAGAAUUAUCAAUACAUCAUAUUUAAGUUUGAGCAAGAAAACCCAUGUAAUUCUGGAGAAGUGGUCAACAACUGUAAGGAAGAAUAUAUUUCCAUCAUAAGUUUGUGUUCUAUAAGGACCCCAUACAUCUAAAUGCAAUAAAGCAAUGCAACAGUUGAUUUAUUAGUACUACUAGGAAAAAAGAAAUCUGACAUGCCUAGCUAACGGGCAUAUUUCAUAGGUGCUCAAGGCUGAUUUGCAUUUAUCCAAUGUGUAGCUAAACAUACCUUUUAUUGAUCCUAUUGAAGCAUGUGCUAAUCUCCUAUGCCAUAAUAAAAUGUCCUUUUCAUCACUAUGAGCACUGCAUGCUUUAACAUUGUCAUCACCAGUAGUAUCAUGUGUCCUAGAGGCUUUAGUGUGAUUCAAAAUGUAGAGACCAUCAAGAUCCUUACCAAUAGCCAUUAAUUUCCCACUAGAAAGGUUCUGGAACAGAAAAAAUCCUGGGUAAAAUGAUACAAAAUAGCUAAGCUCUCUAGUUACCAUGGAAACUGAUAAUAGAUUAUACUGAAAAUAUGGAACGUAAAUACAUUCUCCAACUUUCCUGAAUCAGCGACCAUGCAAUUACCAGUAUGUGUUACCAAACCCUCCAUUUGGUAGAUAUACUUUUAUAUUUUGAUUUUUCUUUAUUUAAUGUGUAUUAG